UACGUAGGGGCCAAGCGUUGUCCGGAAUCAUUGGGCGUAAAGCGCGCGUAGGCGGCCCGGUAAGUCCGCUGUGAAAGUCAAAGGCUCAACCUUUGAAUGUCAGCGGAUACUGCCGGGCUAGAGUCCGGAAGAGGCGAGUGGAAUUCCUGGUGUAGCGGUGGAAUGCGCAGAUAUCAGGAGGAACACCAACGGCGAAGGCAGCUCGCUGGGACGGUACUGACGCUGAGGCGCGAAAGCGUGGGGAGCGAACAGG
RNAcentral lists this ribosomal RNA (253 nucleotides) under uncultured bacterium. RNAcentral describes it as "partial 16S ribosomal RNA". It matches the Rfam family "Bacterial small subunit ribosomal RNA", at positions 524 to 776 of the family's 1533-position model. The record is from RNAcentral.